Long non-coding RNA from Acromyrmex echinatior (Panamanian leafcutter ant), 1383 nucleotides. Lineage: Eukaryota; Metazoa; Arthropoda; Insecta; Hymenoptera; Formicidae. The record is from RefSeq and is a predicted model, not a curated record.
CUUGGGGGAAGCCGAGACCCAGUAAAUAGAUUUUACCUGUAUCCCCUUCAUAAAACCGGCGCAUGGGAAGCGGUGGCAAAGAUGGAAAGGGCAACAAAGAUAAUAAUUUACCCUCUGGUCCUUAUGCCGGGUGCGCGGACAGCGGCGACGCUCCCAAGAAGAAAAGUUUUUUCAAGGGAUUCUGGAAGCGAUCACGUCACUACUCUCUGGAAAACCAAUAGCCCAGGGGUACGAGGAUGAUAAGCCACCAUCAUCACCAGUGGUAUAGGCAGAUGCGACAGCAACAAAGGCAGCGGGGCAUUGCAGCUACUACGACCCUCGCAAAUAAAUCUUGUUGCUGUAUCGUCUAGUAACCCCGAUUUACAUGCGUAUAUCAACCGCGACCAUCUUCUCUUCAACCCGAUGUCCAUUUGCACUCACGAUAGUGCAUCUCCGCGUUCCUCUCGUAAACGGAAUUCGCACGCGUUUCACUCCUCUUCCCUCUCCCCCGUCAAAUUUGAUGAUUUUACAUUAGCAUGAACGAUCCCAGUUAACGCUAAUUAUUCAUGAAAAGUUCGAUUUGUAUUCUCAAUGUGCCGAAUAUUCCGGAACAGUAAAAGAAUAUUCAAAUAUUAAUGAACUGUUCAGAAUAUUAUAUGAACACUUUUUGUAUAUACAAGGUGUCUCAAAAAUAAGGUAGGAGCCGCAUUGGGGGCGUAGAAUGCGUCAAAGGGAACAAAAAAGUUUGAUACCAUUUUGAGAUAUUCGCUGUAGUUUUUUAAUUAAAAAAGGAAACGUAUAAGCCAAUGUGCGGUGAAGCCACAUCGCGCGAAUUCGUAGCACGGCCCAUCGCGCCGCUGUCGAGUGAGGCUGCUUUUGAGGUUUCCUUUUUUAAUUCAAUGUAUCAUUCAUGGUAUCAAACAAUUCAUGGUUGAUACCACCAAACUUUUUUGUUGCCCUUGACCUAUUCUACGCCUCCAAUGUGACUCCUACCUUAUUUCUGAGACAUCCAGUAUAUCAAGAAAAUCACUCAUUCGCACUCAAUCAGAAAUAAUAAUGGAAUCGAUAUCGAUUCGACGUCGAAAGCAUUAAAUCGACGUCGAUUCGAUAUCGAUUUCAUCAUUUCUGACUGAGCAAGCAAUAUGCAGAGAGCUGCGACGGAGAUGCAUUAACUCGUAAAUAUGAAUGACAUGGAAAAAAUAUAUAAAGCGCACUAUUUCACCUAUGAAGUGGAGACGACAAAUAACUAUGUUCUUUGUGAUCGAAAACGAUACGUGAUUCGAUCCCGCUCGUGCUCUACAUAUAAUUUUUUUCGUAUUUAAGGAAUGUUUUUCAAAUAUACACGGAUUAAGCAUACGCUUCUGUUACCACCUUCUGUAUAAAUACACAUUUUCAUUGGGGCUA